RNAcentral lists this ribosomal RNA (1350 nucleotides) under metagenome. RNAcentral describes it as "bacterial LSU rRNA". It matches the Rfam family "Bacterial large subunit ribosomal RNA", at positions 1564 to 2925 of the family's 2925-position model. The record is from RNAcentral.
UGAGUACGAGCUGCUACGGCAGCGAAGUGGGUGAUGUCAUGCUUCCAAGAAAAGCCCUAUACCCGUUAAGGCAUGAUGGCCUGUACCCGAAACCGACACAGGUGGGGUGGUAGAGAAUACCGAGGGGCGCGAGGUAACUCUCUCUAAGGAACUCGGCAAAAUGGCCCCGUAACUUCGGGAGAAGGGGUGCCACCGCAAGGUGGUCGCAGUGAAGAGGCCCAGGCGACUGUUUACCAAAAACACAGGUCUCCGCUAAGUCGCAAGACGAUGUAUGGGGGCUGACGCCUGCCCAGUGCCGGAAGGUUAAGGAAGCUGGUCAGCGUAAGCGAAGCUAGCGACUGAAGCCCCGGUGAACGGCGGCCGUAACGAUAACGGUCCUAAGGUAGCGAAAUUCCUUGUCGGGUAAGUUCCGACCCGCACGAAAGGCGUAACGAUCUGGGCGCUGUCUCGGAGAGAGGCUCGGCGAAAUAGAAUUGUCUGUGAAGAUGCGGACUACGUGCACCCGGACAGAAAGACCCUAUGAAGCUUUACUGUAGCUUGGUAUUGUGCUCGGGCUCGGAAUGCGCAGGAUAGGUGGGAGGCUAUGAACCAUUGCUUGUGGGUGAUGGUGAGCCACUGGUGAGAUACCACUCUUUCCGAGCUAGAGUUCUAACAGCCACCCGUUAUCCGGGGGCUGGACAGUAUCAGGUGGGCAGUUUGACUGGGGCGGUCGCCUCCUAAAAGGUAACGGAGGCGCGCAAAGGUUUGCUCAGGCUGGUUGGAAAUCAGCCGACGAGUGUAAAAGCAGAAGCAAGCUUGACUGUGAGACCUACAAGUCGAACAGGGAGGAAACUCGGCUUUAGUGAUCCGACGGUUCUGCGUGGAAGGGCCGUCGCUCAACGGAUAAAAGUUACUCUAAGGAUAACAGGCUGAUCUCCCCCAAGAGUUCACAUCGACGGGGAGGUUUGGCACCUCGAUGUCGGCUCAUCGCAACCUGGGGCUGAAGUCGGUCCCAAGGGUUGGGCUGUUCGCCCAUUAAAGCGGUACGCGAGCUGGGUUCAGAACGUCGUGAGACAGUUCGGUCCAUAUCCGGUGCAUGCGCAGGAAUAUUGAGAGGAUUUCUCCCUAGUACGAGAGGACCGGGAGGAACGCACCUCUGGUGUACCAGUUAUCGUGCCAACGGUAAACGCUGGGUAGCCAUGUGCGGAGAGGAUAACCGCUGAAAGCAUCUAAGUGGGAAGCCCACCUCAAGAUGAGUAUUCCCAUGGGGUAACCCAGUAAGGUCACGGGAAGAGCACCCGUUGAUAGGCUCUACGUGGAAGCGCAGUAAUGUGUGAAGCGGAGGAGAACUAAUAGACCGAGGGCUUGACC